GAGUUUGAUCGUGGCUCAGAACGAACGCUAUCGGUAUGCUUAACACAUGCAAGUCGAACGGACUAAUUGGGGCUUGCUCCAAUUAGUUAGUGGCAGACGGGUGAGUAACACGUGGGAAUCUACCCAUCAGCACGGGAAUAACUUUUAGUAAAUAAAAAGACUAAUACCGUAUAUUCUCUACGGAAGAAAGAAUUUAUCGCUGAUGGAUGAGCCCGCGUCAGAUUAGGUCGUUGGUGAGGUAACGGCUCACCAAGCCGACGAUCUGUAGCUGGUCUGAGAGGAUGAUCAGCCACACU
This 296-nucleotide ribosomal RNA is filed under the name uncultured microorganism. RNAcentral describes it as "partial 16S ribosomal RNA". It matches the Rfam family "Bacterial small subunit ribosomal RNA", at positions 9 to 314 of the family's 1533-position model. The record is from RNAcentral.